GACAGAGGAGCCAAGCGUUGUCCGGAUUGACUGGGCGUAAAGCGCACGUAGGCGGCUUUGCAAGUCAGAGGUGAAAGCCCGGGGCUCAACCCCGGAAUUGCCUUUGAGACUGCAUCGCUAGAAUUGUGGAGAGGUAAGUGGAAUUCCAAGUGUAGAGGUGAAAUUCGUAGAUAUUCGGAAGAACACCAGUGGCGAAGGCGACUUACUGGACACAUAUUGACGCUGAGGUGCGAAAGCGUGGGGAGCAAACAGG
RNAcentral lists this ribosomal RNA (253 nucleotides) under uncultured bacterium. RNAcentral's name for it is "partial 16S ribosomal RNA". It matches the Rfam family "Bacterial small subunit ribosomal RNA", at positions 524 to 776 of the family's 1533-position model. The record is from RNAcentral.